GGUCUGGUGGUGUAGUUGGUUAUCACGUCAGUCUAACAGUUCGGCUGAGCACACUGAAGGUCUCCGGUUCAAGUCCGGGCUAGAUCA
Molecule: transfer RNA, 87 nt
Filed under: Colletotrichum cereale
Lineage: Eukaryota; Fungi; Ascomycota; Sordariomycetes; Glomerellales; Glomerellaceae
Description: tRNA-Val
Rfam family: tRNA
About the family: Transfer RNA (tRNA) molecules are approximately 80 nucleotides in length.
Source: RNAcentral